This 253-nucleotide ribosomal RNA is filed under the name uncultured bacterium. RNAcentral's name for it is "partial 16S ribosomal RNA". It matches the Rfam family "Bacterial small subunit ribosomal RNA", at positions 524 to 776 of the family's 1533-position model. The record is from RNAcentral.
UACAGAGACUGCAAGCGUUAUUCAGAUUCACUGGGCGUAAAGGGUGCGUAGGUGGCCUAAAAAGUUUGAUGUGAAAGCUCAGGGCUUAACCCUGAAAUGGCAUUGAAUACUGUUGGGCUGGAGGUUUGGAGGGGGGACUGGAAUUCUUGGUGUAGCAGUGAAAUGCGUAGAUAUCAAGAGGAACACCAGUGGCGAAGGCGAGUCCCUGGACAACACCUGACACUGAGGCACGAAAGCUAGGGGAGCAAACAGG